This 940-nucleotide ribosomal RNA is filed under the name Candidatus Phytoplasma trifolii. Its description in RNAcentral is "bacterial SSU rRNA". It matches the Rfam family "Bacterial small subunit ribosomal RNA", at positions 70 to 1005 of the family's 1533-position model. Lineage: Bacteria; Bacillati; Mycoplasmatota; Mollicutes; Acholeplasmatales; Acholeplasmataceae. The record is from RNAcentral.
GAACCUCUUAAAAGGAGGUUUUUAGUGGCGAACGGGUGAGUAACACGUAAGUAACCUGCCUUUAAGACGAGGAUAACAACCGGAAGGUUACUAAGACUGGAUAGGAAACAAAAAGGCAUCUUUUUGUUUUUAAAAGACCUUCUUACGAAGGUAUGCUUAAAGAGGGGCUUGCGCCACAUUAGUUAGUUGGUAGAGUAAAAGCCUACCAAGACGAUGAUGUGUAGCUGGACUGAGAGGUUGAACAGCCACAUUGGGACUGAGACACGGCCCAAACUCCUACGGGAGGCAGCAGUAGGGAAUUUUCGGCAAUGGAGGAAACUCUGACCGAGCAACGCCGCGUGAACGAUGAAGUAUUUCGGUAUGUAAAGUUCUUUUAUUGAAGAAGAAAAAGUAGUGGAAAAACUAUAUUGACGUUAUUCAAUGAAUAAGCCCCGGCUAACUAUGUGCCAGCAGCCGCGGUAAGACAUAGGGGGCGAGCGUUAUCCGGAAUUAUUGGGCGUAAAGGGUGCGUAGGCUGUUAGAUAAGUCUAUAAUUUAAUUUCAGUGCUUAACGCUGUCUUGUUAUAGAAACUGUCUUGACUAGAGUGAGAUAGAGGCAAGCGGAAUUCCAUGUGUAGCGGUAAAAUGUGUAAAUAUAUGGAGGAACACCAGAAGCGUAGGCGGCUUGCUGGGUCUUUACUGACGCUGAGGCACGAAAGCGUGGGUAGCAAACAGGAUUAGAUACCCUGGUAGUCCACGCCGUAAACGAUGAGUACUAAGUGUCGGGGUAAAACUCGGUACUGAAGUUAACACAUUAAGUACUCCGCCUGAGUAGUACGUACGCAAGUAUGAAACUUAAAGGAAUUGACGGGACUCCGCACAAGCGGUGGAUCAUGUUGUUUAAUUCGAAGAUACACGAAAAAUCUUACCAGGUCUUGACAUACUCUGCAAAGCUAUAUAA